CCUACGGGUGGCACCAGUGGGGAAUCUUGGGCAAUGGGCGCAAGCCUGACCCAGCAACGCCGCGUGUGGGAAGAAGGCCUUCGGGUCGUAAACCACUGUCAGGAGGGAAGAAAAGCAGUCGCCAAACAGGUGGCUGUAUUGACGGUACCUCCAGAGGAAGCACCGGCCAACUCCGUGCCAGCAGCCGCGGUAAUACGGAGAGUGCAAGCGUUAUUCGGAAUCACUGGGCGUAAAGCGCGCGUAGGCGGCAGCGCAAGUCAGAUGUGAAAGCCCUCGGCUAAACCGGGGAAUUGCAUCUGAAACUGCGUAGCUAGAGUUCGGGAGAGGGCGGCGGAACUCCCGGUGUAGGGGUGAAAUCCGUAGAUAUCGGGAGGAACACCAGAGGCGAAGGCGGCCGCCUGGACCGAAACUGACGCUGAGGCGCGAAAGCGUGGGUAGCAAACAGGAUUAGAUACCCUAGUAGC
This 464-nucleotide ribosomal RNA is filed under the name uncultured bacterium. Its description in RNAcentral is "bacterial SSU rRNA". It matches the Rfam family "Bacterial small subunit ribosomal RNA", at positions 338 to 794 of the family's 1533-position model. The record is from RNAcentral.